Long non-coding RNA from Sinocyclocheilus anshuiensis, 995 nucleotides. RefSeq lists it as uncharacterized. The record is from RefSeq and is a predicted model, not a curated record. NCBI's taxonomy places the organism in Eukaryota, Metazoa, Chordata, Actinopteri, Cypriniformes, Cyprinidae. The transcript is spliced from 5 exons.
UGAUGUUGUAACCUGCUGUCGGGAAUGCAUGAACUGAUUGAAAACUGUUUACCUUCAAUGCGAUGCAGUCGCUUUGGAUAAUGGGACCUGACAAAUGCAUAAAUGUAAAGAAUCACAUGGACAUAUUGCAGCUCGGGGAAAAUCUGCCCUGUGGAGAACAGUGACAGCCCAAGGACGUGUUCUGAAGGCCUUCAGACAAUUUGGAGAGAAAAAAUGUGCUAAAACCACUGUAAACUCCUCAAACCAGCUCUCCAGAGAGGAGCCAUGAAAAACAUCAGUAGAAGAACAUCUCAGGGUGACAUCCCUGUGGACCUCAGAGUAAGGAAUGACCAUAAAGAGACCCCUGUGUUUCACCCCCAUGUCCUGAUUGAGAGAGGUCAGAGGUCAUGAGGAGCAUGGAUAUGUCCAUUCCCAAAGGGGCUGAAGGGUAAUGGAAUGGCAGAUUCAAGCCAAACGAAGCAAUUUGCGCUUGUCCCACCGGAACCUGGAAGAAAAGCGAAAGACAUGAAUUUGACCGAGGCAGUAUAACAAUAGAGCCAGGAGCCCUCUUCACCCCUCAGACAGCCCAACAUCCAGAUAACCUGCUUGCAAUGCUUCAGCCCACAUGGAAACGGCUGUUUUAUGGCCAUUAUCAAGCCGUUGUGAUCCCUUUGUGUGGAUUUUUUUUUUUUUUCAACUUUUACAGUAUGCAAAGAGUCUGGUAUUUGCAGAGAUAUUCCUUCAUCUCCCCUGUCUCCCAUCAGACGUCUGCACGUCUGUCUUCUCGCUAAUGAAAACUGUCAGUUACCACCGUCUGUAGGCCCAACAAAUAUGAUGUGAUGUUUCUUUCCAUUUAUUUUAUACCACAAAUUAUAUGUAGCAUAUUAAAUGUGAUCUUAGUUUCCAUUUUACUCCUUGAGGAGAUUUCUGUGGUGCUGGCAGUAAUUAACAGUUAGUAUUCUGUCUUUUCUCAUUAGUUUUCAAGCCUGGAAAAUAUCCAAACAAAAUUUGAUUCU